UGAGUGUUAGUUUUAAGUAGACUAUUGACAAAUUACAGAUUUUUUUCACGUAUUGAAAUUAUAUUCCAGAUGAUUUUGAGAUUUACUGGUAUAAUAUUCGCCUCAUGAGGUAGGAUGGAAGGGAAGAAAUAGAGAAAAAAUGUUCUGCUCUGAAAUAAAUGUGGUGUUUCCUGACAGCAUUUGUCAAGAGAUGGGGUUUCACCAUGUAGCCCCGGCUGGUCUUGAGCUCAUGAGCUCAAGCGAUUCACCUGCCUCAGCCUCCCAAAGUGCUGGGAUUACAAGUGUGAGCCACCAUUCCUGCCUCUAUACCUCUAAAGGUGUUGAAUAAUUUGAAUGGGAAUUUGAAGGUCCAUGGCUUCCAAACCAGCAGGAGUUAAGGCUUAAUUGCUUGGAAAUACAUUUUCAUGGCUGAUACCAGUAACAGAAAAAUGUCUGUAUGUCAAGAGGCUCUGUACUAAUCAGUUAACCAUAACAUGUGCCACCCCAUACCUUGGGCCAAUGUAACUGUUAACAGCUUGAAGCUAUUAAAAAUGUACCAAUGGA
Molecule: long non-coding RNA, 543 nt
Filed under: Pan troglodytes (chimpanzee)
Lineage: Eukaryota; Metazoa; Chordata; Mammalia; Primates; Hominidae
Description: lincRNA
Source: RNAcentral